RNAcentral lists this ribosomal RNA (453 nucleotides) under uncultured bacterium. RNAcentral's name for it is "bacterial SSU rRNA". It matches the Rfam family "Bacterial small subunit ribosomal RNA", at positions 32 to 463 of the family's 1533-position model. The record is from RNAcentral.
AAUCAACGCUGGCGGCGUGCCUAACACAUGCAAGUCGAACGAGAAGGUGACUUCGGUCACUGGAUAGUGGCGUCCGGGUGAGUAACACGUAGGUAAUCUACCUUCGGGUGGGGAAUAACGUCUCGAAAGAGACGCUAAUACCGCAUAAUGCAGCGGCACCUAAUGGUGAUUAGUUGUUAAAGCGGGGGAGUCUUCGGACCUCGCGCCUGAAGAGGAGCCUGCGGCAGAUUAGCUAGUUGGUGAGGUAAUGGCUCACCAAGGCUUCGAUCUGUAGCUGGUCUGAGAGGACGGGCCAGCCACACUGGCACUGACACACGGGCCAGACUCCUACGGGAGGCAGCAGUGGGGUAAUUUUGGGCAAUGGGCGAAAGCCUGACCCAGCAACGCCGCGUGAAGGAGGAAAUCCUUCGGGAUGUAAACUUCAUAAGUAAGGGAAGAAAGCUGCGGAUCGAA